This is a long non-coding RNA of Eurytemora carolleeae, 252 nucleotides long. RefSeq lists it as uncharacterized. The transcript is spliced from 4 exons. Lineage: Eukaryota; Metazoa; Arthropoda; Copepoda; Calanoida; Temoridae. The record is from RefSeq and is a predicted model, not a curated record.
AGAUAACUGAUGGUGAAUACGUUGGAAAAUCUACAUGAAACCAGUACACUACAGCUCUUGGUGCUGGUCAACAAGUGUUAUCUUACUCGUUCUACACCCCACCUACAUCUAAACAGGGCAAACCUCUAGAACCAGAGGCUUCAAUAUUACGUUAUAGUCAACUCAUGGCUAACAUAAUUCAACAUGCAAAGCUGUUCUAUCCCCGCUGGAGAAUUCGUUUGUAUCACAAUGUGACGGACCAAGAAAAGGAGG